Molecule: ribosomal RNA, 660 nt
Filed under: Amycolatopsis rifamycinica
Lineage: Bacteria; Bacillati; Actinomycetota; Actinomycetes; Pseudonocardiales; Pseudonocardiaceae
Description: bacterial LSU rRNA
Rfam family: Bacterial large subunit ribosomal RNA
Source: RNAcentral
GUGAAAGGCCAAUCAAACUCCGUGAUAGCUGGUUCUCCCCGAAAUGCAUUUAGGUGCAGCGUCGUAUGUUUCUCCACGGGGGUAGAGCUACUGGAUGGUCUAGGGGCCUUACCGGGUUACCGAAAUCAACCAAACUCCGAAUACCGUGGUGUGAGAGUACGGCAGUGAGACGGCGGGGGAUAAGCUUCGUCGUCGAGAGGGAAACAGCCCAGAACACCAGCUAAGGCCCCUAAGUGUGUGCUCAGUGGGAAAGGAUGUGGGAUUGCCCAGACAACCAGGAGGUUGGCUUAGAAGCAGCCACCCUUGAAAGAGUGCGUAAUAGCUCACUGGUCAAGUGGUCCUGCGCCGACAAUGUAGCGGGGCUUAAGCACACCGCCGAAGCUGUGUCAUUCAUACAAUACAUCGGCUUCACUCCUUGAGGGUGUUGUCUAGUGGUGUGGAUGGGUAGGGGAGCGUCCUGCAUCCAGGGAAGCGGCGGCGGAAGCCAGUCGUGGAGGGUGUGGGAGUGAGAAUGCAGGCAUGAGUAGCGAAUGCAGAGUGAGAAACUCUGCCGCCGGAUGACCAAGGGUUCCUGGGCCAGGCUAAUCCGCCCAGGGUAAGUCGGGACCUAAGGCGAGGCCGACAGGCGUAGUCGAUGGACAACGGGUUGAUAUUCCCGUA